UGUGGGAGCGAGCUUGCUCGCGAUAGCGGUGUAACAGUCGAUGAAACUGUUGACUGUUAAAAUGCCAUCGCGAGCAAGCUCGCUCCCACA
Molecule: unclassified non-coding RNA, 90 nt
Filed under: Pseudomonas jessenii
Lineage: Bacteria; Pseudomonadati; Pseudomonadota; Gammaproteobacteria; Pseudomonadales; Pseudomonadaceae
Source: RNAcentral